Molecule: RNA transcript, 6156 nt
Organism: Athene cunicularia (burrowing owl)
Lineage: Eukaryota; Metazoa; Chordata; Aves; Strigiformes; Strigidae
Gene: PHAF1
Gene name: chromosome 11 C16orf70 homolog
Exons: 17
Source: RefSeq, a predicted model, not a curated record
GCGAGCUUCCCUUCUGCUUCCCUCAGAGGUCCGGCGCAGCGACCGGGUGACGUGCCGUGCCAGCCCGCGGCCUCCGCGCUACCUGAGCCAAUGCUAGAUCUGGAGGUGGUGCCCGAGCGGUCUCUGGGGAACGAGCAAUGGGAGUUCACCUUGGGAAUGCCAUUGGCUCAGGCUGUAGCAAUUCUUCAGAAACACUGUCGCAUUAUCAAAAAUGUCCAAGUUCUCUACAGUGAGCAGUCACCUCUUAGCCAUGACCUCAUCCUUAACCUGACUCAGGAUGGAAUCAAACUGCUGUUUGAUGCUUUCAAUCAGAGACUUAAGGUGAUUGAAGUUUAUGACUUGACUAAGGUGAAGUUAAAAUAUUGUGGUGUCCAUUUUAACUCUCAGGCAAUUGCUCCAACCAUAGAACAAAUUGAUCAGUCGUUUGGAGCAACGCAUCCAGGAGUGUAUAAUUCAGCUGAGCAACUCUUUCACCUCAAUUUCAGAGGACUGUCAUUUUCUUUUCAGUUAGACUCCUGGACUGAAACUCCGAAGUACGAGCCUAACUUUGCCCAUGGUCUAGCCUCUCUGCAAAUUCCACAUGGUGCGACUGUGAAACGUAUGUACAUCUACAACGGAAACAGUCUGCAAGAUACCAAGGCUCCCUUGAUGCCUCUCAGCUGUUUCCUUGGUAAUGUGUAUGCCGAGAAUGUUGAUGUUCUGAGAGACGGAACUGGACCCUCAGGUUUACGGCUUCGCCUACUCACUGCAGGUUGUGGCCCGGGUGUUUUAGCCGAUGCCAAGAUGCGGGUAUUUGAGCGUUGUGUGUACUUUGGUGAUUCAUGCCAGGAUGUGCUGAGCACCUUGGGGUCUCCGCACAAAGUCUUCUACAAGUCUGAAGAUAAGAUGAAAAUCCAUUCACCCUCACCUCAUAAGCAGGUCCCAUCAAAGUGCAAUGACUACUUCUUCAAUUAUUUUACACUUGGAGUGGAUAUUCUCUUUGAUGCAAACACUCACAAGGUGAAGAAAUUUGUCCUGCACACAAAUUAUCCUGGUCAUUACAACUUUAACAUUUACCAUCGCUGUGAAUUCAAGAUUCCACUAGUCAUUAAACGAGAUAGUGCCGAUUCACAGACAGAAACAUGUACGACAUAUAGCAAGUGGGACAGUAUUCAGGAUCUUCUGGGGCACCCUGUAGAGAAACCAGUGGUACUUCACAGGUCGUCAUCUCCAAACAACACUAACCCAUUUGGGUCAACCUUUUGCUUUGGACUGCAACGAAUGAUCUUUGAGGUGAUGCAGAAUAAUCACAUAGCGUCUGUUACUCUGUACGGCCCAACGCGGCCCAGCAGCCAGUUGAGAACAUCGGACCUUCCCCAGUGAGCAUCCCCUGCAAAGUCAACUAAUCUCAAUGCUACAAAAUUAGUACAGCGUGCCUUGAUUUGCUGCCACUUAUAAUAUGGAAAGCACGUUAUGAUUUUUUUUUUUUUUUUCAAUAAGCCUUUCCACCCAGGAGUGGUGUGGAGGGGAAAUUCUCUCAACCCUUCAUCAUGGGGCAUGGAACUGUUGAUGGAGGAAAGCAGCUUAGGUGCCUGUGCCGUCGUUUAUUCCUCUCCGUUGCCCUCAUCCUAUGCAGCACAGACCUGAAGAGACUGUCCCCCCUUCUCAGCUGGCAGAAGGGGGAAAUGGAAAAGGGGCACGUAAUGACUGCAAGAGUUAGAAGCACAAACUUUCUGAGCCUUGGAGCAUCUGGAAGCAGGUGUCACUCCUGUUGAAUCCCUGUUCAAUCUGUGCUGUCUCCUGUGAUCAUUGCUUGCUAAGAAAAUUCUAUGCCUCAACCUUCCUUUUGAUUCCUCUCUAAUUUUAAUUUCAUUUUACAUAGCCCUUCUGUAAAUUAAAUGGAAUAAUGAUGAGCAUGUACACUGAAAGCAAAAUAAAAAGAGACUCUCAGUUACUGUUUUUGUGUUAAAUACAGUUGCUGGGUGUUUUUGUAAUAAAAUCAUGGAUAUUCUUGGGGUUUUUUUUCUUACCAAUUAGUUCUUUUUAUUUUACUGUCUUUCAGGCAUUAUAUUUGAAGUACCCAUCUAGUGUUCCUCCUUUACAGCUGAUACAGUCUGUUAUCCAAAGAAACAGUAUAAAAACUAAUAUAGCUUGCAGUCUGUAUCCUAAUAGAUCCAUGAAAGUGUAUGGAUAAAUUUUUGUCCUGAAGUGGAGAAGGAAAGUCUUUAAACUAUGGUAAAUAACACUGUGGGUUCUGUAUUGUGUCAAAAAUGCAAUUGUUACACUCACGUCAGCCUUUGGGUGUCAUUAAAAUCAAUCAGGCUUCAGAGAGUUUGAAUAUUGCACAACAGAAUGAAAUAAAUGUCUGCAGUAAAAGGAGCAAAUGUGAAUUCUCAUGCUACUUUCUUGUGCCCUAAGGUACUUCAUCAGAAGAGCAUUUGAAGGCUGCUUACCCUGAAGUAACUUAGAGGUUAACGCAGGGCGUAAAAAAUGGGACUUCUGUUUCCAUUCGCAUUUCUCCUGCACUGCCUGUGUAAUGCAGGGUAGAGCACUUAGCUCUCCCCCACUAGCAUCCUGCAGUUUUGGAGUAUAAAACAGCCUUGCCUGGUGCUUGGCUCAGUGUGCUCUUGGGAGAAUUUGAUGAUCUCUGAACUGAGAUGGUGUGCAUGCUUAUGCUUGUUACUAAAAUUACAACAAUCCUGCUAAAAAAUUAAUUUUAAUUAGCCCUAUUCUAAUAAGGGCACCAGAUUAGCUGCAGGAGGAGAAAAAUUCUUGAUGAGAUGAUUUGAGCAAUGGCUGCUCAGAUGCUGCCAGUCUAUGCUUGAGAGCAGGAUUCAGCUGUAAUUCUCCAGAAGUGUGAGGUCAGGACUGCUGCUGUAGCAUGCACCUCAGGAUGGCAGCAGUUCAGGUAUUUAACAACUCCAGUGAUUCCCAUCUUCACUUGUAAUGCUCUGGUGAGUCAAAGCAACUAAAACAGUGUAGAUGAUGAAAUGUGCUAUCUUAGCAGCCUAGACACUUCUCUAGGUCAGUCAAUCUUCAAAAGUUCUUCUAACAGGCAAAAAUUAAAGACAACUUUGCAUCUUGCUGAUGGGCUGAGCACAAAGCAUUGGACUUCUGGGAGAAGCAGAGCUAUAAUGCAGAGCAGCUCUUCUGGAUUUCCUGGCACUUCCUUUGUGAUUGCAGCUGGUCACAGCUCACUUCUCUAAGAUGUUUUGAUUUGCUUGUGGCUAUUGGGGCUAAGAUAAGCUCAAGUUGCUCCUGUGCUGAUGCAUUAGGGGAGCUGGUGUGGAGCCUUAAGGACUUGCUGGCAUGAAAAGUUUAGGACUGGGUGGGGGGACUGAUGACACUAACCGGAAUGAAGAGAGGAAGGAACAGGGAAUAGAGGAGCUCUGGGGGUGAGGGUGAGGAUGGCAGCAUGGCAGGAAGGAGGGGCGGGAACAAGGCUGUUCAUCUGAACCAGAAGCUGUUCCUUGCGGAGGGGUGCUCAGGGUGCAGCCCUGUUCUAGCUCUGCUGGGCAGGGCGCAGCACCUUCCCCUCACAAAGGAACCGCGGAAUUUGAGCUGUAUCGGAUCCCAUCUCAGCAGGUGCCCUUGUUGGAAUUGCAUCUGGUUUGAUAAAGAUCCUGUGUGUUGGCAACGUGUGCUGGUCCAUCAUAUGGUUUCAUAUGAUAAACUGUUUGAUACAACAUUAAGUACAACUGCAUUUUUAAUAAAACACAUGGAUAUGAUCCCAUUUUGAUGUGUGUCGUCUUCCUUUGUAUAGACCAAGAGUUUGAGUGUGUGUAUGUGUGGUUGAAUAUUGCAGUAUUUCCCAUAGUAUUUCAUUUGUUUACACUUAAUAAAACUGAUUCUUGUGCUCUUCUUUUUGGAGAUGAAGCUGAUGAAAUUUCUUCACAUAUCUUUCAGGCUUGCAAGCAGUCCCUGGGCUCCUGUGAAUAUUACAGGCACUACUAUAUAGAUCAGUGCUGCUGUGUAAUACUAGAACCCUCUGUUCCCCAAAAUGCAGUUCCUGUCAAGAAAACCCAAUUUUCUUUUGCCAGGAACCGUCACACUUCUAAUUCUAAACAUAAUUUUUUGCUGAAAUAGUAAUCGGGUGGUGUGUGAGAACUGAUUCAUGCACUCAUGAUAGUUCAUAUUCCAGAACUCCCAUCAAACCUGUUUAAAAACAAAUCUUUCCCACGGCUUAGGAUUGCAGCAAGAUGGUGAUUCACUGUUGUCAGGGGCUGGCUGGAGGUUAGGCCGCAGCUGGCAUUUUCCAAUGGGAAACCGAGGGUGGUGGUGCCCACUUCCCACUGACUUUGUGGUGUUAGAGCCUGUUAGUCGCUUAGCAGCUCUGUUAGGUUUUGUGUUUGAUGGCUCCAAACGUGUAUGAGAGUCAGUCUGCAUGUGUGAAGCUGUGUGGCUCUUGCUUUGACAGAAAUGUCCGAACUGUAGCUUUCUUCAGAGUCACCAAGGUGUCCAAUAUGGCAGAAUUUCACAUGGGCUGGUUGUGUUUUAUAGGUCUUUGAAUUCAGAAUAAUUUUUGGUGUUGUGAUGCAAAAAAUCCUAUUUGGUGCUAGCUCUGCAGGUACAGCAGUUCCAUAUUAACUUUUGUCCCAUAAACACUUUUUUUAUUGUACCUUUUUAACCUUGAUUACACCAACACAAAGCACUGUCCUUUCAGGCUGACCCUGUCAGUCAUAAACUGACACAGCACUUGUAGCCAAAUGUAUUACUGUGUUUGGUUGGGGACUUAAAAUACAAAUUAGUUCUGAAUGGUUCUUUUCAUAUAAGGUAUGGCCCAGCAUGUUUCAGAUAAGGUAAGGUUGGAGCAAAAUAAGGGGAAAAUAAAACUGGAGCUUACUGAAGAUACAACUCUUAGCAUUGAAAUAGGAUUGUGAAUUAAUGAAGCAGGGAGCCUUAUUCAAGGUCAGGGUAUAGCCAGUUCAUCAAGUGAAAACUGCAUCUAUGAAGGGAUUUGGUUUUGAAGGGGUGUAUAUGUUACUUUUAGGGUAUAUUCUCUACAUAUGUGAACUUUCACUGUAACUAAUAAAGUCACUGUGUUUAAAAUGUUUUAUCUACCAAACCUUCUAUCAAAGGCUUUUGUUUUCUUUAUGGGGAUUCCAUCAGGAAACAUCAUUCCUUUUUGUGAUCUGGGAACACUGACCUCUUGAAGCAGCAGGAAAGGUAAGCUGGAAUUUGCAGAGCAGGUCAUUUACUGUGGUGUAAGAUACUCUCUACAGGCAGUAACUUUUGUUCUGAACUAGACUGGAAUGAUGCAACGUAACCUUUUCUCUUUCAUACCCUAAUUAAUUCCUCUUUAAAUGUUACUAGUUUGGUCAUUUUAAAGUACUGCAUACUGCAAUUUUGAAAGCUGUUUCUAAUUGCCUUAAUGUUUCCCACCUAUGCUACAUAUUCUACUUAGUGCCUAAGUUUCAUUCCAGUAUUAAUAUCCUUCAGAGACACAUUUAGUCUAAAUACCAAUCAUAAAAAAAGCCCCGUGUGGUUAUGCAAUGUGCAGUCUAAUCAACUAAGUAAUCAAAACGGCCUGAAUCACUGUAUUCCCUUUUCACCUCUGCUGGUCUUUCUUAGAAAAACUUAAGCCCUGAAAUCCUGAGUUUACCCUGUUCCUUGCUGAGUAGCUGUUGCAUCCACAAGUAUGGAGGCUACCAAGAUUAUUUCUUCUGCUUCUAUGGCCAUAGAGAGUGUUUGUCUUAACACAACUCCUUUAUUCCCACCCAGCUCAGUCAGUCCCCUGGCAACAAGGCAGUCAUCAUGGACCUGUGUUAUUUUAUGUUUUUUUCCCUGUUCUGGGCACUUGGCUUGACAGCAGGUGGGCUGGGAAGGGGAGAGAGAAGAGCUGUCAGCUGGGUUUGGGCGAAUUGGAGAGAGGGUUAGGCUGGACAGGACUGGUGGGGGAGCUGUUUGCUACUCUUGGAGAGACUCAGAUGCAUUCGUCCUUUGGGGUUUAGUUUCCUCUCUUAUUAGCAUGAUUUUCUUACUGACCAUAAACCUUAAAAAAUCAUGAAAAGUUGGAUUUAAAAGUUUUACCUGUUUUGACAAAUGUCAGUAGAGUUAGUAGCAUCAUUAGGGGAAUGUGGUGGGCUGAUGAGACCUGCAACUCCAGCUGAAAGAUACAGCUUGGGCUCAGCUGUUCUUCAAACUGGGCUUUGGGGUAGACUCCCCCCUGCCACCCCC